This 1129-nucleotide ribosomal RNA is filed under the name Sphingobacterium sp. MYb388. Its description in RNAcentral is "bacterial SSU rRNA". It matches the Rfam family "Bacterial small subunit ribosomal RNA", at positions 173 to 1310 of the family's 1533-position model. Lineage: Bacteria; Pseudomonadati; Bacteroidota; Sphingobacteriia; Sphingobacteriales; Sphingobacteriaceae. The record is from RNAcentral.
UCAUUUACCGGCAUCGGUUUUUGAUCAAAUAUUUAUAGGAUAUGGAUGGGCUCGCGUGACAUUAGCUAGUUGGAGAGGUAACGGCUCACCAAGGCUACGAUGUCUAGGGGCUCUGAGAGGAGAAUCCCCCACACUGGUACUGAGACACGGACCAGACUCCUACGGGAGGCAGCAGUAAGGAAUAUUGGUCAAUGGAGGCAACUCUGAACCAGCCAUGCCGCGUGCAGGAUGACUGCCCUAUGGGUUGUAAACUGCUUUUGUCAGGGAAUAAACCUUUCUACGUGUAGAAAGCUGAAUGUACCUGAAGAAUAAGGAUCGGCUAACUCCGUGCCAGCAGCCGCGGUAAUACGGAGGAUCCAAGCGUUAUCCGGAUUUAUUGGGUUUAAAGGGUGCGUAGGCGGUCCUAUAAGUCAGUGGUGAAAGACGGCAGCUUAACUGUCGCAGUGCCUUUGAUACUGUAGGACUUGAAUCUAUUUGAAGUGGGCGGAAUAAGACAAGUAGCGGUGAAAUGCAUAGAUAUGNUCUUAGAACUCCGAUUGCGAAGGCAGCUCACUAAGUUAGUAUUGACGCUGAUGCACGAAAGCGUGGGGAUCAAACAGGAUUAGAUACCCUGGUAGUCCACGCCCUAAACGAUGAUAACUCGAUGUUUGCGAUACACAGUAAGCGUCCAAGCGAAAGCGUUAAGUUAUCCACCUGGGGAGUACGGUCGCAAGAUUGAAACUCAAAGGAAUUGACGGGGGCCCGCACAAGCGGAGGAGCAUGUGGUUUAAUUCGAUGAUACGCGAGGAACCUUACCCGGGCUUGAAAGUUAGUGAAUGAUCCAGAGACGGAUCAGUCCUUCGGGACACGAAACUAGGUGCUGCAUGGCUGUCGUCAGCUCGUGCCGUGAGGUGUUGGGUUAAGUCCCGCAACGAGCGCAACCCCUAUGUUUAGUUGCCAGCAUGUUAUGAUGGGGACUCUAAACAGACUGCCAGCGUAAGCUGUGAGGAAGGUGGGGACGACGUCAAGUCAUCAUGGCCCUUACGUCCGGGGCUACACACGUGCUACAAUGGACGGUACAGCGGGCAGCUACAUAGCAAUAUGAUGCUAAUCUCUAAAAGCCGUUCACAGUUCGGAUUGAGGUCUGCAA